Molecule: ribosomal RNA, 466 nt
Filed under: uncultured Pseudomonadota bacterium
Lineage: Bacteria; Pseudomonadati; Pseudomonadota
Description: bacterial SSU rRNA
Rfam family: Bacterial small subunit ribosomal RNA
Source: RNAcentral
GGGGCUAGUAAAGUGGCGCACGGGUGAGUAGCGCGUGGGUAAUCUACCUCCGAAUUGGGGGAUAACAUUGCGAAAGCGGUGCUAAUACCGAAUGACAUCACCGAGGCUACGGCCUUGGUGAUCAAAGGUGGCCUCUACAUGUAAGCUAUUGUUUGGAGAUGAGCCCGCGUACCAUUAGCUAGUUGGUAGGGUAAUGGCCUACCAAGGCUACGAUGGUUAGCUGGUCUGAGAGGAUGAUCAGCCACACUGGAACUGACACACGGUCCAGACUCCUACGGGAGGCAGCAGUGAGGAAUUUUGCGCAAUGGGGGGAAACCCUGACGCAGCAACGCCGCGUGAGUGAUGAAGGCUUUCGGGUCGUAAAGCUCUGUCAAGUGGGAAGAACCUGCUUCGUGAUAAUACCACGAAGCACUGACGGUACCACUGAAGGAAGCACCGGCUAACUCCGUGCCAGCAGCCGCGGUAA